Molecule: microRNA precursor, 84 nt
Filed under: Merops nubicus (carmine bee-eater)
Lineage: Eukaryota; Metazoa; Chordata; Aves; Coraciiformes; Meropidae
Description: mir-1781 microRNA precursor family
Rfam family: mir-1781 microRNA precursor family
Source: Rfam by way of RNAcentral
CAAGGAGCUUGUUUAAAGCUGAGUGAUUUAAAGCAAUCAGAUUCCUUCAGCUUUAAAUCAUGCAGCUGUUGAAUAAGCUCUUCC